This is a small RNA of Photobacterium halotolerans, 96 nucleotides long. The record is from Rfam. NCBI's taxonomy places the organism in Bacteria, Pseudomonadati, Pseudomonadota, Gammaproteobacteria, Vibrionales, Vibrionaceae.
UAUUGUAAUUGAUCUCCAUUUAUAAACCAGUUAGCGCAAGGCUCUCACGAGCCAUUCCCCUAAGCCCGAAACAGGAGUCGUUUCGGGCUAUUUUUU